UCCAGUUACCCCCAGCUGCAGAUGAGUCGGGUGAUGCCCAGAGGGGCACAGUAGAAAGCUCCUCAGUCCUGUCAGAAGGGCCAGGCCCCUCUGGAGUGGAGAGUCUCCUAUGCCCCAUGUCCUCCCACCUCAGCUUGGCACAGGGUGAGAGUGACACCCCAGGGGUAGGGUUGGUAGGGGACCCAGGUCCAAGCAGGGCGAUGCCAUCUGGCUUGAGCCCUGGGGCAUUGGACAGCGACCCUGUGGGCCUUGGAGACCCUUUAUCAGAGAUAUCAUCAAAGCUGCUGGAGGCAGGUAAGGAAGGCUGGGCUAGGGAAGUCUGGGAAGGGAAUGGGGAUGCCUGGAGAGAUGAGUGUCAAGACUUUGGAGGUCUCUGACCCUACUCAGGCUGAAGCCCGGGUCCAAGUAGGGGUCUCUGGAUAGGUGGUCCAAGGCAGACCCAAGUCAUUUCCCUUCCCAAGCCCCCAGUGGAUCCGGCCUCCCUAAGCCUGCUGACUGCCUCCUGGCCCAAGACCUCUGUUGGGAGCUGCUGGCCAGUGGUAUGGCCACCUUGCCAGGGACUCGGGAUGUCCAAGGCCGGGCAGUGCUGCUUCUGUGUGCCCACAGCCCAGCCUGGCUUCAGUCUGAGUGCAGCAGCCAGGAACUCAUCCGCCUCCUGCUGUACCUGCGAAGCAUCCCCAGGCCCGAAGUACAGGCACUGGGACUGACAGUGCUAGUUGAUGCCCGAAUUUGUGCCCCAAGUUCC
RNAcentral lists this long non-coding RNA (745 nucleotides) under Pan troglodytes (chimpanzee). Its description in RNAcentral is "long non-coding RNA NONPTRT006083". Lineage: Eukaryota; Metazoa; Chordata; Mammalia; Primates; Hominidae. The record is from RNAcentral.